Molecule: ribosomal RNA, 449 nt
Filed under: uncultured bacterium
Lineage: Bacteria
Description: partial 16S ribosomal RNA
Rfam family: Bacterial small subunit ribosomal RNA
Source: RNAcentral
GUCGAGAAUCUUUCACAAUGGGGGCAACCCUGAUGGAGCGACGCCGCGUGGAGGAUAAGGUCUUCGGAUUGUAAACUCCUGUCAUGCGUGAACAAGGUUGCUUGGAUAAUACCUGAGCAAAUUGAUGGUAGCGCAAGAGGAAGAGACGGCUAACUCUGUGCCAGCAGCCGCGGUAAUACAGAGGUCUCAAGCGUUGUUCGGAAUCACUGGGCGUAAAGGGUGCGUAGGUGGCGUGGCAAGUCAGAUGUGAAAGCCCGGGGCUCAACCUCGGAACUGCAUCCGAUACUGCCAUGCUAGAGUACUGGAGGGGUGACUAGAAUUCUCGGUGUAGCAGUGAAAUGCGUAGAUAUCGAGAGGAAUACCAAAGGCGUAGGCAGGUCACUGGACAGUUACUGACACUGAGGCACGAAGGCCAGGGGAGCGAACGGGAUUAGAUACCCCUGUAGUCC